GAUCGGCUUUCACUGCUCCCAGAACGAUCCUGGGAAGGCCGCUUGCGAUCAUCAGCUAUUGCUGUGUAACAAGCUACAGGAAGCCAGACCGGAGCGGUUCCGUUAGCACAAGGUUCUGCAGACAUGCCAACAGCAGCCUUUCCCUGAGUCCCUGAGGAUGUGCACACCCGUGGCUGAGGGGCCGCCAGAGAAGGUGCCUUUGGGAAGAGAGAGCUGUCAGCAACAGCAACAACACACAGCACAGACCCUACGGAGACAUCCAUCCUGUCUUCAAGAGCUCGACAUUUUUAAGUUGUCCUCCAAGGUCCUGUCAUGGUUGGAGAGAUGCACUAUAUCAACUCCACGGCUGACCCAGACAACCGGAACCCCGAGGCCCCGGGGGUGGCUGGAAGCCAGACAUCUCCAAUCCUUGAUGAGGGGACGUGAGACCCCAUCACCCCAGAACUGCACACAGGGUCUUCUGCACGGUGCACACUUGUCCUUGCAUUUGGGGAUGAUGGUCCGCUUGCUCUGGGUCCUCGUGGUGCUGCCAAUCUGUAAUCAGGCACCGUGUUUUGUUCCUGGGAGGUCUGGAAGCUUUCAGCAGUGUGCACUGGGGAGAUGUUUUAGGAUCUGUGUCUCUGAAGGUUUUGCUUCCUUUACAUACAAUGAGUCUUUGCCCAUUCCUCAUUUCUUGGGGGACGUGCUGGUCCUUUCCUGGCACUGGGCAUUGAGAGGAGAACAAGGAGCUGGGAGAGAAGGCCAGGGGAAGUCUUUGGGUCAGUUUUGAAGUUGUACUCUUCCGGGCACUGCCCUGAGAUUGCAUCAUCCACCCCAGCUCUGACGAAGUCCCACCUGGCACCACUUCAGGUUAAAUAAACUUGGCAAGGACUUCCCACUUCCAGAGAAGUUUUGUUUCACUAAUAUUCCUGCUGCUGCUGAACUUCGGACAAAAUGGAAACAAUAAUUAUUUGAAGGCAUUGGGAAGUGACAUAAAGCAGAUGAAAAAACCUUCAAGGGGUAUGAACUUUGAAAGGAGUUAGAAAGAAAGCUUUUCUCCUGAGGGCCCUUUCUGGACCCCACAAUGGGUUGGGCUCCAGCAGAAGGUGGUGGUAUCGGGCGGAGAGGUCAGAGGCUAGAAUUUGGCAUUGCCAGAAUGUCUGGAAAUUUAGGAAGAAAUCUCAGAAAGGCCAUGUAGGGGAAGACCCCUUAACCUGGCACAAUCUCUGCUCCAGUCUUCUGCUGAUCCCCGAAGUGUGCACGUGCAGGGCAAGACUCCUUAAGGCCCAGGAAGAGGCAGCAGCUGGAUGGGGGAGGAGCUAGCAGAGAGUCUGGCAUCUGGCUGGUGCUGGGAAGACCAGGUUUGGAGGUCACGUCCUCCCAGGUGAGAGGAACUUCUGUGUGCUGAAAUAAAAGGACUUAAUUAUGAGUCAGAAGACAGAAAAAUACUCUAUUUGAACUGGUUGAGAAAACUGUUAACCUGGAGCUUUAUACCCAGCUAAACUGUCUUUCAAGAAUGGUGGCAAAAUAAAGACAUUUUGGAUACACACAAACCAAGAGAUUACUAACAACAGACUCUCACGGAAGGAAGGAUUCUACUUGAUGGUUUUAAAAAAGAUCUAAGAUAUUGGGCAGAGGGGUUGAA
Molecule: long non-coding RNA, 1624 nt
Organism: Ailuropoda melanoleuca (giant panda)
Lineage: Eukaryota; Metazoa; Chordata; Mammalia; Carnivora; Ursidae
Exons: 3
Source: RefSeq, a predicted model, not a curated record